RNAcentral lists this ribosomal RNA (347 nucleotides) under uncultured bacterium. Its description in RNAcentral is "partial 16S ribosomal RNA". It matches the Rfam family "Bacterial small subunit ribosomal RNA", at positions 338 to 696 of the family's 1533-position model. The record is from RNAcentral.
CCUACGGGUGGCAGCAGUCGAGAAUCUUUCUCAAUGGGGGAAACCCUGAUGGUGCGACGCCGCGUGGGUGAAUGAAGGCCUUCGGAUUGUAAACCCCUUUCAUGUGGGAGCAAAUUAAAAAGAUAGUACCACAAGUGGAAGAUACUGCUAACUCUGUGCCAGCAGCCUAGGUACUACAGAGGUCUCAAGCGGUGUGCGGAAUCACUGGGCUUAAAGCGUGCGGAGGCUGUUUCGUAAGGCGUGUGGGAAAGGUUCGGGCUCAAGCCGCGGACAGCACAUGAUACUGCAAGACUAGAGUAAAGGAGAGGGAACCGGAAGGCUCGGUGUAGCAGUGAAAUGCGUAGAUA